CCGCGGUAAUACGGAGGGUGCAAGCGUUAUCCGGAUUUAUUGGGUUUAAAGGGUGCGUAGGCGGGUCUGUAAGUCAGUGGUGAAAGCCUUCAGCUUAACUGGAGAAUUGCCAUUGAUACUGCUGACCUUGAAUUCGGUUGAAGUGGGCGGAAUGUGUGGUGUAGCGGUGAAAUGCAUAGAUAUCACACAGAACACCGAUUGCGAAGGCAGCUCACUAAGCCGACAUUGACGCUGAGGCACGAAAGCGUGG
RNAcentral lists this ribosomal RNA (250 nucleotides) under uncultured bacterium. RNAcentral's name for it is "partial 16S ribosomal RNA". It matches the Rfam family "Bacterial small subunit ribosomal RNA", at positions 515 to 764 of the family's 1533-position model. The record is from RNAcentral.